Long non-coding RNA from Sorghum bicolor (sorghum), 448 nucleotides. RefSeq lists it as uncharacterized. Lineage: Eukaryota; Viridiplantae; Streptophyta; Magnoliopsida; Poales; Poaceae. The transcript is spliced from 3 exons. The record is from RefSeq and is a predicted model, not a curated record.
CGACCUUCUCGGUUUCAAAACGAGAGGUUGGAGGCGGCAUGCUCGAUCUCGUCCUUCCCCAUCGCUAGCGCACGCCAUCCUGCAGAGUUGUGAUGUGUGGAGGGAGGACAAAGGGCAGCGUACGUAGCAGUUCAGGGAUGAGUGUGGCUUGAAGGACGAUUUUGCUUGUAGGUGUUUAAUCAUUUCUGUCAAGCAUGAUGGACUUGGGGACUUAGAUGCAUGCACGUGUCACGUCAUCACCAGCAGCAUAAAUGUUCAUGUUUUAAGAAUUCAGUUUGCAAUGGCACUUGUCUAUGUUAAAGUAUUGUCAACCAUAGCGUAGUUAUGUUGCUGCAAUGUAAUAAUUGAGUGAUUUGCAUCCUGAAGUUAGUGUUUAAAUAUUCACCUAUAUUUGUUGAUGUAAUUAUGUUUGCAAUCUUGAGUCGUGGUCUUUGUUCUUGCUGGGUUU